RNAcentral lists this ribosomal RNA (460 nucleotides) under uncultured bacterium. RNAcentral's name for it is "partial 16S ribosomal RNA". It matches the Rfam family "Bacterial small subunit ribosomal RNA", at positions 338 to 795 of the family's 1533-position model. The record is from RNAcentral.
CCUACGGGUGGCAGCAGUGAGGAAUAUUGGUCAAUGGACGAGAGUCUGAACCAGCCCAGUAGCGUGAAGGAUGACUGCCCUAUGGGUUGUAAACUUCUUUUAUAUGGGAAUAAAACGUUCCACGUGUGGGAUUUUGUAUGUACCAUAUGAAUAAGGAUCGGCUAACUCCGUGCCAGCAGCCGCGGUAAUACGGAGGAUCCGAGCGUUAUCCGGAUUUAUUGGGUUUAAAGGGAGCGUAGGUGGAUUGUUAAGUCAGUUGUGAAAGUUUGCGGCUCAACCGUAAAAUUGCCGUUGAAACUGGCAGUCUUGAGUACAGUAGAGGUGGGCGGAAUUCGUGGUGUAGCGGUGAAAUGCUUAGAUAUCACGAAGAACUCCGAUUGCGAAGGCAGUUCACUGGACUGCAACUGACACUGAGGCUCGAAAGUGUGGGUAUCAAACAGGAUUAGAUACCCGAGUAGUC